GAAUAUGAAGGCAAUCUGACUCCAACAUGUUCCACUACUGACUAUUAAGGUUGAUUUGGCUGAUAUGGCUGGCUACAUGGGUGUUCCCUUCCUCCCUUACUGAUCCAUAUGUGUCCCCUGCCACAAAACUGUGUGCUUGGUUAAAGAAGACAACCCUCCCAAAUAGAGGAGGACCAUUUCUUCAGUCAAAGGUAUAUGAGUAGUUGUAUUCCCCUGCUAGAACCUCCAAACAAGCUAUCAGGAAAAGCUAGGGCAAAGGUGACAUCCUGUCUCAAAAAAUUUUGUUUUAAAUCUAUAGAAAACCACACUAU
Molecule: non-coding RNA, 311 nt
Organism: Fukomys damarensis (Damara mole-rat)
Lineage: Eukaryota; Metazoa; Chordata; Mammalia; Rodentia; Bathyergidae
Source: Rfam